Long non-coding RNA from Hemicordylus capensis (graceful crag lizard), 724 nucleotides. RefSeq lists it as uncharacterized. The transcript is spliced from 2 exons. Lineage: Eukaryota; Metazoa; Chordata; Lepidosauria; Squamata; Cordylidae. The record is from RefSeq and is a predicted model, not a curated record.
CAGGGGGCUGCUGCUGCCAGGGGCGGGGCUGGAAGACCAACUAUGCUAGCUGUGUCUAGGGAACUCUGAAAUGUUGAUCGUAUGUCGCUCACGCUUCCUGCCGAGUCUGCACCAUAUGCUCGUCUGUUUGCUAUGAGAUAAUCUGGGAGAGAAAGCAUUAUCAUCUAAAAUGUGACUUGUCAGAAAAUAAACAAGAGAGGGAGAACUCAGAGUGGAAGGGACAGGCAAUUUUUAAGCUGAUAGAAAACAGCAGCUGGAUUUAAGAAAUGGAUCACUUGCUUACAAAAGCAACAGACUCAUGGAGAAAGGCAUUAAGGGAACUAUUGGGGAGGAGGGGGAGAGACAGCAAGAGAGAGAAGAGAGAGCCAUACAAAGUGAAAGUGCCAGGAAAAUGAAAUGCAAGAGUCAAAAUACUUGGCAGAAAGCAAUUCUUUAGAUGCAGAAAAGUAUCAUCUUAUCUGAGGGAGUGUGGAGUAUAGACUGCCAGCCAUACAAUCUGUCACACUGUCAGCAGUGACGCCACUUACAGGAAAUGUGCAAACCCCAAAUGCAUUGCAUGGAGACCAAGACAAAGAGAUUGCUUUUUAAGACCCAUUGACACAAACAGAAUGCUUUAAAAUUGCAUGCUGUACCAGACAAACAGGAAAUUGAAUUCUAUCUUGUAGCUGCACAAGCUAGGGCCAGAAUAGCAUCAAACAAACAAUAAAUUGAAUGUUAUGGAAAA